GACCAGCAGCAGGACCACGUCCACGAUCACCAGGACGACUCAGCUAGAGUCGGAAGUUCAGAGACUACGAGAACAGCAAGCUGCUCAGGCUGCCUAUAAUGCCUCGCAGGCAGCCUAUAAUGCCUCGCAGGCAGCCUAUGUUGCCGAGAUACAUGCCAUCCAGCAGGCCCAGCAGCAGCAGAUGUUCCAGCACAUGCAGGACUUUACAGCUGCCCAGCUUCAGGGACUUCCGCCUCCGCCCAUGCCUCCGCCCAUGCCGCUACCCCAGCCGCCGCAACCUCCGCCGCAACCUCCGCAGCAACCUCCGCAGCAACCCCCAGAAGCGGAUAUUAAUUUAGACGAUUUAGAUUUUAUGUAGUUGAUGAAUUAUAUACUUUUAUGUGCUUGUUGUUGGUUAUAUGGAAUAUGGAAUUGUUUUGGUAUAUUUUGCAGCUUGCUUGGAAUGGUAAUUCAGAAAUUUCGGGGUUUUUUUUUUUACUAGAAAGGACUUAUAGCCGACGAAAAAAGCUUUAAUUCGUCGGCUAAAGUUUUUUAUUUUUUUUAAAAUAACUUUUAGCCGACGAAAUAUGCUCUAAUUCGUCGGCUAAAUACCUAUAAAGCCGACGAAAUAUACUAUAUUUCGUCGGCCAUAGAUCUUUUUUUAUUUUUUAUUACAAACUUUAGCCGACGAAUAUUUUAAAAUAUUCGUCGGCUAAAGUUUGGCAAAUAACCGACGACUUUUUUGUCGUCGGCUAUAGUCCGGACUUUAGCCGACGAAAUAAUGUCGUCGGCUAAAGUCUGGACUAUAGCCGACGAAAUAAUGUUGUCGGCUAAAGUCUGGACUAUAGCCGACGACUUAUACGUGUGUCGUCGGCUAAAGUUACCACAGACGAGCUUUUCCCGACGAAAUCUUAGCCUACAAAAGGUCGUCGGCUAAGAUCUUAGCCGACGAAUUAAGCUGACAGGCCGACGAAAAAUUUUCGUCGGCUAAAGUGCUUGUCCUGGUAGUGAUGUCACAUGUUUCUACCUCAUCAUUCUCAGCUUUCUCGUCUUUCUCUUUCAGAUCGUCUUCUUUUUGAGUUUGCAUGACAUGUUUACCUUCAUGUGCACAAACAAAUAAUCUACUUGUCACUUCAUUUGACUGUGAUCUAUACUUUGAUGAACUUCGGAUACGAGUCUAAAAUCCUUCUUGUCGACCAUAAUCUUCAUAAUAUUGUCCGGCCUCCUCCAAUGUUUCAAAAAACAUUCCAACAUAAGGGGAUUUUAGUUUUCGGACUUCUUUCUCUUGAGAAUGGUGAUCACUUGCUUUUUCACUGGAUACUUGGUUCAUCGAGGAACCAAGAUUGUCAUCUUCUAAAUUCAAGUCCAUUGAUUCCAACCUAAGGAACACAACAUGAUCAUAAAUAUUUGUCAGACAAAUUGGAUAACAGAUUUAAAGAAAGAGAAAAGUUGCUGCAUGAUAUCCGACUAUUUG
Molecule: long non-coding RNA, 1453 nt
Filed under: Fragaria vesca (wild strawberry)
Lineage: Eukaryota; Viridiplantae; Streptophyta; Magnoliopsida; Rosales; Rosaceae
Description: long non-coding RNA (FVES_LNC004945)
Source: RNAcentral